This 468-nucleotide ribosomal RNA is filed under the name uncultured bacterium. Its description in RNAcentral is "partial 16S ribosomal RNA". It matches the Rfam family "Bacterial small subunit ribosomal RNA", at positions 28 to 507 of the family's 1533-position model. The record is from RNAcentral.
GACGAACGCUGGCGGCGUGCUUAACACAUGCAAGUCGAACGGAAAGGCCCUGCUUUUGUGGGGUGCUCGAGUGGCGAACGGGUGAGUAACACGUGAGUAACCUGCCCUUGACUUUGGGAUAACUUCAGGAAACUGGGGCUAAUACCGGAUAGGAGCUCCUGCUGCAUGGUGGGGGUUGGAAAGUUUCGGCGGUUGGGGAUGGACUCGCGGCUUAUCAGCUUGUUGGUGGGGUAGUGGCUUACCAAGGCUUUGACGGGUAGCCGGCCCGAGAGGGUGACCGGCCACAUUGGGACUGAGAUACGGCCCAGACUCCUACGGGAGGCAGCAGUGGGGAAUAUUGCACAAUGGGCGGAAGCCUGAUGCAGCAACGCCGCGUGCGGGAUGACGGCCUUCGGGUUGCAAACCGCUUUCGCCUGUGACGAAGCGUGAGUGACGGUAAUGGGUAAAGAAGCACCGGCUAACUACGUG